RNAcentral lists this transfer RNA (87 nucleotides) under Actinomycetospora chiangmaiensis. RNAcentral describes it as "tRNA-Leu". It matches the Rfam family "tRNA". Rfam says of the family: Transfer RNA (tRNA) molecules are approximately 80 nucleotides in length. Their secondary structure includes four short double-helical elements and three loops (D, anti-codon, and T loops). Lineage: Bacteria; Bacillati; Actinomycetota; Actinomycetes; Pseudonocardiales; Pseudonocardiaceae. The record is from RNAcentral.
GCCCGCUUGGCGUAACUGGUAGCCGCACGAGACUUAAAAUCUCGGGUCCCUCGGGACGUGCCGGUUCGAGCCCGGCAGCGGGCACCA